Long non-coding RNA from Osmerus eperlanus (European smelt), 891 nucleotides. RefSeq lists it as uncharacterized. The record is from RefSeq and is a predicted model, not a curated record. The transcript is spliced from 2 exons. NCBI's taxonomy places the organism in Eukaryota, Metazoa, Chordata, Actinopteri, Osmeriformes, Osmeridae.
GAUGCUGCCCUGCCAGAGGAUGAGUCUGAAGUCAACGGCAACCAGCAAGACAACCCCACUGAAUCCUGUGCGUUCCUGAACACCCCCGUCAUGUGACCGCCCCACGGACCACCAGCUUGUUGCUACGACAACCUCACCUGGACACACCAAUAACCCACCCCUCUCUCUCCCCCUCUCUCUCCCCCUCUCUCUCUUUCUCCCCCUCUCUUCUCUCCCUCUCUUCUCUCUCUCUCCUGUCCAUUGUGUACCAGAAACCUGAAAUGGAAUGAACAAUGUUACCCUCUCAAAAGUUAUUGGAUGAUUACUUAAGACGCCAACCUUUCCUCAAAUAUGACUGGAUGAUCACAGUGGACAGCAUCCUGGCCUGUAACAUGAUUGGAUGAGCUACAUGCGAUCAAUCCUCUGAUUGGAUGGUCAUCAGCCUAUCAGAAAAGCCUGGAAAGAGAGCGAGGGACGGAGAAAGAAGUAGAAGAAAUGAAAGAAUGAAUUUAAGGAUGAAUUUAAGGAUGAAUUUAAGGAUGAAUUGCAGUUAAAAAAGGAGAAGACGGAAUGUUUGUUUCUGUUCUUCCUUUUCCCUAUGAUGAGAGAAAUCAUGUUUUUAUGUUUGUAAUAAAUCUCUCCCCUUCUCUUUCCAUCCCUCCAUCCUUCUCCAUCUCAUUCUCUUUUUCCAUCUCGCUUUCCCUCGCUCCAUCUCUUUGUGCGGAAGAGAAAUAAAUGUGUGACCUACCAUUGACCCCUGACCCCUGACCCCAGCCUAUCAGAGUGAAGACUGUUGUGUUGUUUAUUUGGUUGAUUUCUUUGUUGAUCCGAGCAGAGCAGCUUGAUAGAGUAGACAUGUUGCUUUUCUCUGUUACUGUAGGUGAAGUACAAGACAAUACACAGUUACUCUAC